This 264-nucleotide ribosomal RNA is filed under the name uncultured bacterium. RNAcentral describes it as "partial 16S ribosomal RNA". It matches the Rfam family "Bacterial small subunit ribosomal RNA", at positions 335 to 596 of the family's 1533-position model. The record is from RNAcentral.
GUGCCUACGGGGGGCAGCAGUGAGGAAUAUUGGUCAAUGGGAGAGAUCCUGAACCAGCCAAGCCGCGUGAGGGAAGACGGCCCUAUGGGUUGUAAACCUCUUUUGUCAGGGAACAAAGGCGGGGACGCGUCCCCGGAUGAGUGUACCUGAAGAAAAAGCAUCGGCUAACUCCGUGCCAGCAGCCGCGGUAAUACGGAGGAUGCGAGCGUUAUCCUGAUUUAUUGGGUUUAAAGGGUGCGCAGGCGGUCUGUUAAGUCAGCUGUC